AUCAGUCACAUGAAAAACAUCCAUGAACCACCUUCCAUCGGAAGAAAUAUAAGCUUUUUUAAUUGAAAGGUUCAGAUCCGUGAGAACCUGAACAGCCUCGAGCAAAAUUCCAUGUUUCCUGGCACUGUCAACCUUGACAAGAGUCGCAGUGGGGCAAACGGCAUUGUCGAUGACAACCCUGGGAGUGGUCAUCCUUAUAACAAGCUUUUCAUACUCAUCCAAACAAGCACUCCACUCCAUUUCUAUAAAGCUU
This 253-nucleotide unclassified non-coding RNA is filed under the name Hevea brasiliensis (rubber tree). The record is from RNAcentral. Lineage: Eukaryota; Viridiplantae; Streptophyta; Magnoliopsida; Malpighiales; Euphorbiaceae.